Molecule: transfer RNA, 71 nt
Filed under: Actinomycetota bacterium
Lineage: Bacteria; Bacillati; Actinomycetota
Description: tRNA-Gly
Rfam family: tRNA
About the family: Transfer RNA (tRNA) molecules are approximately 80 nucleotides in length. Their secondary structure includes four short double-helical elements and three loops (D, anti-codon, and T loops).
Source: RNAcentral
GCGGGCGUAGCUCAAUGGCAGAGUCCCAGGCUUCCAUCCUGGUGAUGCGGGUUCGAUCCCCGUCGCCCGCU